RNAcentral lists this ribosomal RNA (447 nucleotides) under uncultured bacterium. RNAcentral's name for it is "partial 16S ribosomal RNA". It matches the Rfam family "Bacterial small subunit ribosomal RNA", at positions 29 to 523 of the family's 1533-position model. The record is from RNAcentral.
AACGAACGCUGGCGGCAGGCUUAACACAUGCAAGUCGAACGCCCCGCAAGGGGAGUGGCAGACGGGUGAGUAACGCGUGGGAAUCUACCCAGACCUUCGGAACAACUGAGGGAAACUUCAGCUAAUACCGGGUACGCCCUACGGGGGAAAGAUUUAUCGGUUCUGGAUGAGCCCGCGUUGGAUUAGCUAGUUGGGGGGGUAAUGGCCUACCAGGGCGACGAUCCAUAGCUGGUCUGAGAGGAUGAUCAGCCACACUGGGACUGAGACACGGCCCAGACUCCUACGGGAGGCAGCAGUGGGGAAUAUUGGACAAUGGGCGAAAGCCUGAUCCAGCCAUGCCGCGUGAGUGAUGAAGGCCUUAGGGUUGUAAAGCUCUUUCAGUAGGGAAGAUAAUGACGGUACCUACAGAAGAAGCCCCGGCUAACUUCGUGCCAGCCGCCGCCGUAA